This 753-nucleotide long non-coding RNA is filed under the name Homo sapiens (human). RNAcentral's name for it is "non-protein coding lnc-OR52N5-1:1". Lineage: Eukaryota; Metazoa; Chordata; Mammalia; Primates; Hominidae. The record is from RNAcentral.
GCAGUGUCCUUCAGGCAUCAGAAACUAAGCAAAGAGUAUGGAAAGAGAUCACAGGGCUCUCCGUUCUAUGGUGACAAGGGGAAUAAAGCAGGACAAAAAAAGUGGAGAUUUCACAUUAGGUACCAUCUUCUGCUCUCUGCUCUCUCUUCCUCUAUCUUGGAGCCUACCUGACAUUCCUUGACCACCUCGUUUAUGCGGAAUGUUUGGUGACCUUGGUGUUCCUGAGACAGUUCACAAACCCAGCAAAUGACUUUUCCAUCCUCCUUACAGAAGAUCUGGAGUUUUUUUCCAUGGUGCUCACAGACAUCUCUCUUCUGCCCCUCCUGUGGGCUCAUCUUGACCUCUUUGACUCUCUCAACUAUGUUGGCCAGAUGCCGAUUAGGUCGGAGGUUCCCAGGCUGGAAUCUGGUCUGACACACAGGACAGCUGCUUUCCCCUCUUGAGAUGAUCACUGACUCCUUGAUCUUUGCAGUGAUGCAGGCUUGGCAGAAGCUGUGGCCACAAUCUAGGCUCAGAGGUUCUGUCAGGAGCUCCAGGCAGAUGGGGCAGGUCACCUCCUUCUCUAUGUCUACCUUUACUGAGAAAUCCAUUGCACUGCUCCCUUGGCUUCCUUCUGUCUUGACUCUUGAAGUUCUUGGUCACAAACUCCUGCAGUGCUGAGAAUGUUGAAGGGGACAGGGUAAGAAAAGAAGGAAUAGAAAGAAUACUGCUUUUACAGAGAUUUAGAACAGGACAAAACAUUAAUAUUUAACA